GACGAACGCUGGCGGCGUGCUUAACACAUGCAAGUCGAACGGAAAGGCCCUGCUUUUGUGGGGUGCUCGAGUGGCGAACGGGUGAGUAACACGUGAGUAACCUGCCCUUGACUUUGGGAUAACUUCAGGAAACUGGGGCUAAUACCGGAUAGGAGCUCCUGCUGCAUGGUGGGGGUUGGAAAGUUUCGGCGGUUGGGGAUGGACUCGCGGCUUAUCAGCUUGUUGGUGGGGUAGUGGCUUACCAAGGCUUUGACGGGUAGCCGGCCUGAGAGGGUGACCGGCCACAUUGGGACUGAGAUACGGCCCAGACUCCUACGGGAGGCAGCAGUAGGGAAUAAUGCACAAUGGGCGGAAGCCUGAUGCAGCAACGCCGCGUGCGGGAUGACGGCCUUCGGGUUGUAAGCCGCUUUCGCCUGUGACGAAGCGUGAGUGACGGUAAUGUGUAAAGAAGCACCGGCUAACUACGUG
RNAcentral lists this ribosomal RNA (468 nucleotides) under uncultured bacterium. RNAcentral describes it as "partial 16S ribosomal RNA". It matches the Rfam family "Bacterial small subunit ribosomal RNA", at positions 28 to 507 of the family's 1533-position model. The record is from RNAcentral.